UACGGAGGGGGCUAGCGUUGUUCGGAAUUACUGGGCGUAAAGCGCACGUAGGCGGACUUGAAAGUCAGAGGUGAAAAACCAGGGCUCAACCUUGGGACUGCCUUUGAAACUCCCGGUCUUGAGGUCGAGAGAGGUGAGUGGAAUUCCGUGUGUAGAGGUGAAAUUCGUAGAUAUACGGAGGAACACCAGUGGCGAAGGCGGCUCACUGGCUCGAUACUGACGCUGAGGUGCGAAAGCGUGGGGAGCAAACAGG
RNAcentral lists this ribosomal RNA (253 nucleotides) under uncultured bacterium. RNAcentral describes it as "partial 16S ribosomal RNA". It matches the Rfam family "Bacterial small subunit ribosomal RNA", at positions 524 to 776 of the family's 1533-position model. The record is from RNAcentral.